Xiphophorus couchianus (Monterrey platyfish) is the source of this 473-nucleotide long non-coding RNA. RefSeq lists it as uncharacterized. Lineage: Eukaryota; Metazoa; Chordata; Actinopteri; Cyprinodontiformes; Poeciliidae. The transcript has 2 exons. The record is from RefSeq and is a predicted model, not a curated record.
UCCCGCCUCCUUUGCCUUUUUAUAGUUAUAUUUACAUUUUCAACAUCAUAACUGGAUUAGUUCAAACCUAAGGACUGGGGGAUUUUCUUACUUUUACUUUUAUUUUUUUUACCUUACUUUUCUUCAUCUCCAAGUUGAACCAGGGCAAAAUGCCUCCAGCCGACCCAAGGGACAUUAGCAGUAUUAUAAAACGACUUCAGUCUAUAGAAAUGAAGAUUCAACUGCUGGAGGUGAACUUUGAGAUCAACGCUACCUGUGGAAAUCAGACAACUCUUCCUCAAAUCAACAGAGAGGCCGUACGCCUCGCAUCAAGCAGCUCACCCUGGAACGCUCUGGGUGCCAAGCCGAAGCAAAAGUCUCACACCGCAGAUCCGAUGAGACGACUGACAGGGAGAAAUCCCUCACCUGGACGAAUCAGCGUGGCCGGCUCUGAGCCGAAACCCACCUUCAACCUCAACACCUGCUCCACCAAA